AAAAGCUUUAAGGAAAGCUCUUUGUUUUUUGAAAUGAUGCUUUUAUGAGAUAGAGCUUUUUUAGAUAAUGCUUUUUUAGAUAAUGCUGGGGAAGGUUUUCCGGUUUAUCUCGGAGGGCUUGUAGCUCAGUUGGUUAGAGCGCGCGCUUGAUAAGCGUGAGGUCGGAGGUUCAAGUCCUCCCAGGCCCACCAAUUUACCUAUCCAUUUGCCUUUAUCCGUUUAUUUGUCGAUUUAUCGGUCCAUUGAAUUUAACUGUUGGUAGCAGUUUUUAUAAUGAUGAGAAAUCAUGCUUAUAAAAGAACUCCUUAUAAAAGGCUUGUUUUUAAAAUGUGACGCUUAUCCAUUUCGCUUAGGCAAGAGAAACUUCAAGCGGUUCAAAUGCAAAAGGCUUUAAAUUUUGCAAAACAAUUUGAAUUUUAAAGUGAUCCAAGUUCGUGAUCUCGAAUUUAAAAGUUUCGAAUGCUUUAUCCUUUUUUGGGGGCCGUAGCUCAGCUGGGAGAGCACCUGCUUUGCAAGCAGGGGGUCGUC
Molecule: unclassified non-coding RNA, 528 nt
Filed under: uncultured Bartonella sp.
Lineage: Bacteria; Pseudomonadati; Pseudomonadota; Alphaproteobacteria; Hyphomicrobiales; Bartonellaceae
Description: partial 16S-23S ribosomal RNA intergenic spacer
Rfam family: tRNA (bases 115-188)
Source: RNAcentral